Molecule: long non-coding RNA, 534 nt
Organism: Leopardus geoffroyi (Geoffroy's cat)
Lineage: Eukaryota; Metazoa; Chordata; Mammalia; Carnivora; Felidae
Exons: 3
Source: RefSeq, a predicted model, not a curated record
GAAGACUGGCUUUGUGCUGAGCCGGAAGGACCUGGAGCCCUCAGAGAGCACCAUGGUACAUGCGUGCGAAUGUACUCAACGAUUUGUUCCACAAACUGGUCAUGAAACCGCUACUGCAACACAGGAGGACGUGGGAGGAAACGUUCGCGGAAGAAAAGGACGCUGAGACAGCCACACCCCUAAAGAGAGGGGCAUUUGGAGAUUUUUGCCAGGAUUAUCCCCGCCCCCGCCCCUAGUUCCCGCCCCCAUCCUAGUUCCCCCCCCUAGUUCCCGCCCCCAUAUUCCUACACCUGUAAAGACCCCUUCCAGCCCUUCGGUUGAGAACACGUGACCCUGGGGCACUUCUGAGUGCGCCCUGCGGCCGUCCUCCUACCAAACGCGGAGACCAACCGCAGGGACCAAAUGCAGGGACCAAACGCAGCACCCGGGGGCGGCGAGGAAGAUACCCGUGUGUCAGUUUCCAGAGCACGUUCCCAUGGCCCCUGCUCAGGACCAGGUAUGAAGACCAGCUCUGGGGGCAUCAAGGACUGGGAG